This 540-nucleotide long non-coding RNA is filed under the name Rattus norvegicus (Norway rat). RNAcentral's name for it is "long non-coding RNA NONRATT005950". The record is from RNAcentral. Lineage: Eukaryota; Metazoa; Chordata; Mammalia; Rodentia; Muridae.
UGUCACAGUAGGCGUCAGACUGCUGACCGUCUGUCUGUCUUACCCUUGCUGAGAAGUGUUUACUCGGCAUUGCUGAAGCCACUGUAGAGCAGUUGAUCAUUGCCUGCAUGCCCCGCACUUCUUCAUGCUUUUAUUGAAACACUUUUACCAUUUUAUUUAUUCUUUUAAAAACAGGGAGACGGCAUUGCUUAUUGAUCCAAAAAACUCGUGUUCUUCAUCACGCCAGUGGGUUGCUCUGGUUGUGGGACAUGAACUCGCCCAUCAAUGGUUUGGAAAUCUUGUUACUAUGGUAUUUAAUAUUUUUAAGUGCUCAAAUAUAUCCAUCUGUGUCCUGCUGCACACUAUUUUGGCCACACUCUUUCAAAUUUGGCUAUGAUGCUAGGCCAAAAAUUAAACAUUUUCUUAUGUGCUCUGUACUGGUGGUGCUUUAAUCCUUAUACUUGGGAGGCAGAGGCAGGGGGGAUGUCUGGCCAGAUUUGUGUACAAAGUGAGUUCCAGGACACACUGUCCACAGAGAAACCCUGUCUUGAAAAACAAAAC